RNAcentral lists this long non-coding RNA (383 nucleotides) under Phaseolus vulgaris (common bean). Its description in RNAcentral is "long non-coding RNA (PVUL_LNC001230)". Lineage: Eukaryota; Viridiplantae; Streptophyta; Magnoliopsida; Fabales; Fabaceae. The record is from RNAcentral.
UAGGGGAAACAUUGGAAGCUUGGGAGUUUCUCUUGUCUGAGGCAGGCGCAGGAGAAGGUGCAUCACCACCGUCCAAAAGGUAACGUCUGGAGAGAACGGUGUCUGACGAGGAGGAAUGUUGGAAGCGGAGAGAGGGUUCGAGGAAGCUGUUGCCGGAGAAGUUAAAUUGGCGGAGGUUGCGGAAGGAGCGGACGGAAGAAGGCACCCUUCCGGUGAAGAAGUUGUCGGCGACGGAGAGGGUUUCGAGGUUGGGGAAGUACUUGAGGAAGUUGAGGUUGCCGGAGAGUUUGUUGGAGGAGAUGUCCAACGCGCGGAGGCGCGUGAGAGAGGAGAGUUCGGAGGGGACCUCGCCGGAGAAGAGGUUGUUGGAGAGGUCAAGGAAU